RNAcentral lists this ribosomal RNA (253 nucleotides) under uncultured bacterium. RNAcentral's name for it is "partial 16S ribosomal RNA". It matches the Rfam family "Bacterial small subunit ribosomal RNA", at positions 524 to 776 of the family's 1533-position model. The record is from RNAcentral.
UACGUAGGGUGCAAGCGUUGUCCGGAAUUACUGGGCGUAAAGCGUGCGCAGGCGGUUUUGUAAGUCUGAUGUGAAAUCCCCGGGCUCAACCUGGGAAUUGCAUUGGAGACUGCAAGGCUAGAAUCUGGCAGAGGGGGGUAGAAUUCCACGUGUAGCAGUGAAAUGCGUAGAGAUGUGGAGGAACACCGAUGGCGAAGGCAGCCCCCUGGGUCAAGAUUGACGCUCAUGCACGAAAGCGUGGGGAGCAAACAGG